RNAcentral lists this ribosomal RNA (513 nucleotides) under Triticum aestivum (bread wheat). Its description in RNAcentral is "partial small subunit ribosomal RNA". The record is from RNAcentral. Lineage: Eukaryota; Viridiplantae; Streptophyta; Magnoliopsida; Poales; Poaceae.
AUGGUUAAAGAUCUCUUGGCCGAUAAUAUUGAUGGGCAUGUUAUUUACUUAUGUGAUGAGACUGCUAGAAUUGCUAGACAUGGUACUACAAAUAAACAUAGACCUGUUGUAGGCAUGCCUGUUAUUUCUGUCAAAAUAGGAGAUCAUUGCUAUCAUGGCUUAUGUGAUAUGGGUGCUGGUGCAAGUGUAAUACCUCAUUCCGUAUACAAAGAAAUUAUGCAUGAUAUUGCACCUGCUGAGAUAAAAGAUAUAGAUGUCACCAUUAAGCUUGCCAAUAGAGAUACUAUUUCACCAAUUGGGAUUGUUAGAGAUGUUGAAUUCUUGUGUGGGAAGUUUAAAUAUCCUGCUGAUUUUCUUGUUCUUGGUUCCCCACAAGAUAGAUUUUGUCCCAUUAUAUUUGGUAGACCCUUCUUGAAUACUGUUAAUGCUAAGAUAGAGUGCAAUAAGGAUAUUGUUUCUGUUGGUUUAGGGUAUAUGUCUCAUGAUUUUAAUUUUGCUAAGUUUCGUAGAUAA